RNAcentral lists this ribosomal RNA (2902 nucleotides) under Escherichia coli. RNAcentral describes it as "23S ribosomal RNA". It matches the Rfam family "Bacterial large subunit ribosomal RNA". Lineage: Bacteria; Pseudomonadati; Pseudomonadota; Gammaproteobacteria; Enterobacterales; Enterobacteriaceae. The record is from RNAcentral. RNAcentral also lists the same sequence under 1 other name.
GGUUAAGCGACUAAGCGUACACGGUGGAUGCCCUGGCAGUCAGAGGCGAUGAAGGACGUGCUAAUCUGCGAUAAGCGUCGGUAAGGUGAUAUGAACCGUUAUAACCGGCGAUUUCCGAAUGGGGAAACCCAGUGUGUUUCGACACACUAUCAUUAACUGAAUCCAUAGGUUAAUGAGGCGAACCGGGGGAACUGAAACAUCUAAGUACCCCGAGGAAAAGAAAUCAACCGAGAUUCCCCCAGUAGCGGCGAGCGAACGGGGAGGAGCCCAGAGCCUGAAUCAGUGUGUGUGUUAGUGGAAGCGUCUGGAAAGGCGCGCGAUACAGGGUGACAGCCCCGUACACAAAAAUGCACAUACUGUGAGCUCGAUGAGUAGGGCGGGACACGUGGUAUCCUGUCUGAAUAUGGGGGGACCAUCCUCCAAGGCUAAAUACUCCUGACUGACCGAUAGUGAACCAGUACCGUGAGGGAAAGGCGAAAAGAACCCCGGCGAGGGGAGUGAAAAAGAACCUGAAACCGUGUACGUACAAGCAGUGGGAGCCUCUUUAUGGGGUGACUGCGUACCUUUUGUAUAAUGGGUCAGCGACUUAUAUUCUGUAGCAAGGUUAACCGAAUAGGGGAGCCGAAGGGAAACCGAGUCUUAACUGGGCGUUAAGUUGCAGGGUAUAGACCCGAAACCCGGUGAUCUAGCCAUGGGCAGGUUGAAGGUUGGGUAACACUAACUGGAGGACCGAACCGACUAAUGUUGAAAAAUUAGCGGAUGACUUGUGGCUGGGGGUGAAAGGCCAAUCAAACCGGGAGAUAGCUGGUUCUCCCCGAAAGCUAUUUAGGUAGCGCCUCGUGAAUUCAUCUCCGGGGGUAGAGCACUGUUUCGGCAAGGGGGUCAUCCCGACUUACCAACCCGAUGCAAACUGCGAAUACCGGAGAAUGUUAUCACGGGAGACACACGGCGGGUGCUAACGUCCGUCGUGAAGAGGGAAACAACCCAGACCGCCAGCUAAGGUCCCAAAGUCAUGGUUAAGUGGGAAACGAUGUGGGAAGGCCCAGACAGCCAGGAUGUUGGCUUAGAAGCAGCCAUCAUUUAAAGAAAGCGUAAUAGCUCACUGGUCGAGUCGGCCUGCGCGGAAGAUGUAACGGGGCUAAACCAUGCACCGAAGCUGCGGCAGCGACACUAUGUGUUGUUGGGUAGGGGAGCGUUCUGUAAGCCUGCGAAGGUGGCCUGUGAGGGUUGCUGGAGGUAUCAGAAGUGCGAAUGCUGACAUAAGUAACGAUAAAGCGGGUGAAAAGCCCGCUCGCCGGAAGACCAAGGGUUCCUGUCCAACGUUAAUCGGGGCAGGGUGAGUCGACCCCUAAGGCGAGGCCGAAAGGCGUAGUCGAUGGGAAACAGGUUAAUAUUCCUGUACUUGGUGUUACUGCGAAGGGGGGACGGAGAAGGCUAUGUUGGCCGGGCGACGGUUGUCCCGGUUUAAGCGUGUAGGCUGGUUUUCCAGGCAAAUCCGGAAAAUCAAGGCUGAGGCGUGAUGACGAGGCACUACGGUGCUGAAGCAACAAAUGCCCUGCUUCCAGGAAAAGCCUCUAAGCAUCAGGUAACAUCAAAUCGUACCCCAAACCGACACAGGUGGUCAGGUAGAGAAUACCAAGGCGCUUGAGAGAACUCGGGUGAAGGAACUAGGCAAAAUGGUGCCGUAACUUCGGGAGAAGGCACGCUGAUAUGUAGGUGAAGCGACUUGCUCGUGGAGCUGAAAUCAGUCGAAGAUACCAGCUGGCUGCAACUGUUUAUUAAAAACACAGCACUGUGCAAACACGAAAGUGGACGUAUACGGUGUGACGCCUGCCCGGUGCCGGAAGGUUAAUUGAUGGGGUUAGCGCAAGCGAAGCUCUUGAUCGAAGCCCCGGUAAACGGCGGCCGUAACUAUAACGGUCCUAAGGUAGCGAAAUUCCUUGUCGGGUAAGUUCCGACCUGCACGAAUGGCGUAAUGAUGGCCAGGCUGUCUCCACCCGAGACUCAGUGAAAUUGAACUCGCUGUGAAGAUGCAGUGUACCCGCGGCAAGACGGAAAGACCCCGUGAACCUUUACUAUAGCUUGACACUGAACAUUGAGCCUUGAUGUGUAGGAUAGGUGGGAGGCUUUGAAGUGUGGACGCCAGUCUGCAUGGAGCCGACCUUGAAAUACCACCCUUUAAUGUUUGAUGUUCUAACGUUGGCCCCUGAUCGGGGUUGCGGACAGUGUCUGGUGGGUAGUUUGACUGGGGCGGUCUCCUCCUAAAGAGUAACGGAGGAGCACGAAGGUUGGCUAAUCCUGGUCGGACAUCAGGAGGUUAGUGCAAUGGCAUAAGCCAGCUUGACUGCGAGCGUGACGGCGCGAGCAGGUGCGAAAGCAGGUCAUAGUGAUCCGGUGGUUCUGAAUGGAAGGGCCAUCGCUCAACGGAUAAAAGGUACUCCGGGGAUAACAGGCUGAUACCGCCCAAGAGUUCAUAUCGACGGCGGUGUUUGGCACCUCGAUGUCGGCUCAUCACAUCCUGGGGCUGAAGUAGGUCCCAAGGGUAUGGCUGUUCGCCAUUUAAAGUGGUACGCGAGCUGGGUUUAGAACGUCGUGAGACAGUUCGGUCCCUAUCUGCCGUGGGCGCUGGAGAACUGAGGGGGGCUGCUCCUAGUACGAGAGGACCGGAGUGGACGCAUCACUGGUGUUCGGGUUGUCAUGCCAAUGGCACUGCCCGGUAGCUAAAUGCGGAAGAGAUAAGUGCUGAAAGCAUCUAAGCACGAAACUUGCCCCGAGAUGAGUUCUCCCUGACUCCUUGAGAGUCCUGAAGGAACGUUGAAGACGACGACGUUGAUAGGCCGGGUGUGUAAGCGCAGCGAUGCGUUGAGCUAACCGGUACUAAUGAACCGUGAGGCUUAACCUU